Molecule: long non-coding RNA, 4334 nt
Organism: Bombus impatiens (common eastern bumble bee)
Lineage: Eukaryota; Metazoa; Arthropoda; Insecta; Hymenoptera; Apidae
Exons: 3
Source: RefSeq, a predicted model, not a curated record
UUUAAGUUUUGCAAUGCUUCCGAGUGCUUGUGAAUAACGUAAACUGUUGAAUAAUUUUCCUCGACUAAAAUUCAUCCGAAAAGAAGCUUACAAUUGUUGCUAACGAAGAAAUAAAGUUUUUGAAAUCUGCGAAGAGAUUAUUAAAUUCUGGAGGACUUUAUAAAACCUGUUGCUCAGUUAACAUUAUUUUAUCGCGAGGAACAACAUCAAGAUUUAUGAAGAAACGAGUGCAGUCGCCUUUAAUAGGUGCAGGAAAGGCCAGUAACAGUAGUUACUAAUUACCUAACAAGGAAAACAUUUUAUUCGUUGAGAUGAAUGUACAGAAUGAUGUGUUGUGCGUUGUAUAAACCUGUGUUAUGUGUAAUUAAACACAAUCAUGCGAUAUGAUCGAUUAUUUGAUACUGGUACACUAGUAUACUAGAAAACGAUCUUGUAAGAUUUCACCAGUAGAAAAUGAUGACAUGCGAACAGUGAACGUUCGCCAUUUUCUCUGUGUCGCUUUUAUUGUAUUUUUUCGAAUGCAAUUGACUGAUUUGUUAAGGAUUUUGUGAAAAAGGCAAAUUCGAACUCGCUCGAUCACGGCGAAUCGGUUGUCGACGUUCCUUCGUUCUCGAACCAAUGAACACGCAAAUAGUAAGUACACGUGCAAUUCCGUACAAAGAAAAUGAGAAAAUAGAGAGCGAGAGAGAGAGAGAGAGAACGAGAGAGAGCGAGAGAGAGAGAGAGAGAGAGAGAGAGAGAAAGACAGAAAAAUGUUUGAUGCGUUUUCAAAGAAAUAAAGAACAAAGAAGUAUGAGAAUAAGGGACUUAUAAGUGACACAAUAGUGCUGUAGCUGAGAAGAAAGAGACGGUUAUAGUUUCUAUUUUGAAGAUUAUAUUUUUUUAACUUCAUUCAUUUUUGACUUCCACAUACAUGUAUUUAUAUAUAUACAUAUAAUUGUAUAUACAUAUUCGCAUACCUAUUAUAUACACGUAUAAAUAUAAAUAAAUAAAUAUAUAUACAGUAAAUGAUAAGUGUUAAGUGGAUAAUGAGAUAUUGUAUAUAUAUAUACAGAAAACACACGUGUGUGUUCGAAAAGGAGGUCGUAUAACGCAUGAUAUCGUGAACGUCCUUUCCGUAAUAAUAUGUAUAUGUGUGGAGUCGUACAAUUAAGCGUAUCGCGAAUAUCGUUUGUACGAAUACACUACAUUCUGAGAUAGCAAUCGGAAAGAAGAUAGGAAAUGCGCUUUCCAGAAGGAAUUACUUACACGAGACGAACAAUUAAGGGGCUUUCUAGAAGAAAAUGUCUUUGGACCAUUUUUUACGGUAUCUUGUUCUAUUUUCGAAACGGUAUUCUUAUAACCAGCAAAUAAAAUACUGUAUAUUUUAUCGAAACAACAAUUUUUGGUAAAAGCUGUAAUAUUUCAUUUAUUCGUAAUGGAGAUUUUUAGUCGGCCCAAUUCCACGAACUUCGCGGGCCAGCUUCGAUUUCUAUUUCUGUUUGAGAAAUUCAAACAUUCGUUAGUCGCAAACUAUUCGUUUUGAGAAAUGUAAUUUUUAUCAAUUCGCCGACGUCAUUUCUUAGUUUGAAGCGGAAUUUUUGUGCCGACAGGUCGUCGCAGCGUGACGCUUAACGAUUCGGAAGACAUCGAUCGCGUUACUUUACAAACUCAAAGCGAUCUACUCUUUGAUCUAUCGACGUUCAAGUAGGAAGUCAACUUAUCGACUUAAUUAAUACCACAAACGUUAAAAGUGUAUCGACUUCUCACGGUAAGAGGGUGUUGCGUUCAUUCAUCAAUACCAAUAUUAAAUAUCGAAAACGGAACGAUGAAAAGAUGUGACCGAACGAUUAAACGAUUUAAUAGGCGAAAGAAUUCUGCGUAUGUACAUAUACUAUUAACAUUGUACGUCUCGGGAAUCACGACAUAGAUCAUCAUUGAUCGUGAUACGUUUACUAUUGGAGAAUUGACUUGUUAAUUCGACUUGAAAAUGAUAUAGCUCGCGCCGAAUUAGGGCCUAUAAAUGUAUACAAUCAAAUAAAAGAUGCGGAAUAAUUAUCAAAUUUUGAUUUAUUUUACUGUAACAUUAAAAGUACCAAACUCGUCAUCUUGAUAGGUUUUAGAUUUUUUCCUACCCCGUGACCCAUUUCUCGUCUAUUUUAUUAUUUUUCCUACUUUUAAAAACAUAUGUAUUUCUUUAAAUUCCUAAUUUUGUAUUCCUUUUUAAUUUACCUACUGAUCAGUAUCGCCGGUUCAUCGCCGGUUCACUGGUAGAUGCGGCACUAUGCCCAAAAUAGUAUUUUGCCAAGCUAAUAUCACUGAUACCAUUAGUACCAUCUUUUCACCGCUAGAUGACUAUAGUAUCGUACAGUUUAUGUUUUGAUAAAAUUCUCGCAACAGACAAUUGCGAAACAUUUGGACAAGAACCCUAGGUACGGUUAUCAAACUAACCUUCGGAUAAACAUAGAAUCACACCCAACAACGCAAUCCUGGCAGAAGCUGAGAUUCCAUUACUUAAGAGGCAGAAUCGAAUAUCUCUAUGGUAAAUACACUCGGAAAACAUUGAACAACCUAACCACUCCUAUGGCAGAAUACAUUCAAGAAUACAUAGAACUGGAGGAAACUGUCUUAUACAACAUCCAACUCAACAAGAAGAGGAGAAUAAUCGUGAAAAUCUGCUGAGAAGGAUCGAACAUACGGAUAAAGUAUAAUACCGUUCGUGCCACCCUGAUGUAUCUGAAUAUGUAUCCAAUAUAUUUGAAAAUAAUUACACCGUACAACGCACUUAGAUGGUUCCAAAGCACUACGGCCAAAUCCCACAGAGGCAAUCAUCGUCCGCCAUGAAAUUUGCAACUGCAGUUCACGAAUGGAAGACAACGAACUGCAAAUUUUCUGGAUACUAGCACACGUGGGUGUUCCUGAAAACAAAGAAACAGGCCAACCAGCCAAAGGAGCCGCGAUCAAGCAACCAGACAGUAUGGAGAAGUUACCUCUUACAGAUUUCUACGGUGUGUUGAAAUAUAAAAUAUGGAACGAUUCGGAAGACAAAUUGAAUACUUCACUGUCUUCUUUAAAUCAGGCAGAAUAUCUUGGUUUAUCGAUCUAUAUUAAAUUGCAUAAUAUGGGACUAUUGGUUGUAUACUAACUUUAUGAAGAAAAUGACGCACAGAUUGUACAAGAAAAGGCCUCGCAUCCGCUCAAAUAAUGGAAUCGUUUAUACAAAGUCUUGAUAUACCAGCCAUUAGAAUAGUAAAAGAUCGUUUUAAAGCAAAUGAUAAAGUAUAUAGCAAUACAUUGUUAUAUUACAUGUUAUUUCUCUUCUUUUAAUUGUAACAGUAUCAAUAUAUAUCGCAUAAAUGUAUCAAGCUUAUACACGUAGGAUGAUCAAAGUUCAAAUAAUAAAAUGAAAGUUUCGAUCAACUUUUCAUUUCCGAGAAAGGUUAAUUACAAAUGUAUAUAAAAAUAAUACACGAUAGUAACGAAUACACAAGUAACAAAUACACGAAAUGUAUGUACAUUUAGAGAUUUGCAAAUUCUAUCGAAUAGAUCGAAGCACUCACAUGAAUAAUAUUUAAUUUCGCGCAAACUACACUUGAAACUAUGAUUAAAGUCGAAAGUGAACAGUUGAAAGUGGAAAGUUUGAAAUGCAUACGCGCGUAAAAUGCUCAAACGUGUUAAUGUAAGAAAUUUAUACUUAUACGUACUUAUACGUGCACACGUAUGUAUGUUUUUAUAUGGGCAUGGAGCGAUUAGUUCCACCUAUUAGCUGUUAGAUGGUAUCCCAUGUUCAUCGAAGAAACUACGGCCAUGGUGGAACGACUUUUAAAACUCGUCUAAGUACAUGAUCUUGCUAUGGAUAAAGUACAAAAUAGUCAUGACAUGUAACGCAUUUUCGUGUCCCACGUUUGAGUGUCAUCCGAUAUGUAUCUUUGUAUAAAAUGUGCGCGGAAUGAUCUUAAAUAAAGAUUACAACGUCGAUCGAACGACGAAAUAUACAAAUAUAUAUUACGAUAGUAAAUUAUAAUCGAUAUACAUACAUAAUUUCUUCCGAUCGAUCUAUCGUAUCGUAGAAGUGUCAGUUUUAGGUGGGGAGCACAGGACGAAGAAGCGUAAACGUUUCAUCUAGAAGUUAUCAGGUUUUUCAUUCGUUCCUCUUCUUCCUGUAACCUGGAAAGGACUUUAAAGAUGCUUGAAAACCAAGAACGUAAGUAAUUUUGUAUUUUGUAUUUUCAAUAUUACUAUUUCGCAUGUAUUUCACAUUGAGUACUAUCAAUUAAAAAGUAGAAUCUGAUCGAAGAUAGAAAUUUCUCAAUUUAUGUACUCGGUUACAAAUAAUCCAGGUGGGUGAGUCGAUA